RNAcentral lists this ribosomal RNA (1372 nucleotides) under uncultured bacterium. Its description in RNAcentral is "bacterial SSU rRNA". It matches the Rfam family "Bacterial small subunit ribosomal RNA", at positions 28 to 1381 of the family's 1533-position model. The record is from RNAcentral.
GAUGAACGCUGGCGGCGUGCCUAAUACAUGCAAGUCGAGCGAACGGACGAGAAGCUUGCUUCUCUGAUGUUAGCGGCGGACGGGUGAGUAACACGUGGAUAACCUACCUAUAAGACUGGGAUAACUUCGGGAAACCGGAGCUAAUACCGGAUAAUAUUUUGAACCGCAUGGUUCAAAAGUGAAAGACGGUCUUGCUGUCACUUAUAGAUGGAUCCGCGCUACAUUAGCUAGUUGGUAAGGUAACGGCUUACCAAGGCAACGAUGCAUAGCCGACCUGAGAGGGUGAUCGGCCACACUGGAACUGAGACACGGUCCAGACUCCUACGGGAGGCAGCAGUAGGGAAUCUUCCGCAAUGGGCGAAAGCCUGACGGAGCAACGCCGCGUGAGUGAUGAAGGUCUUCGGAUCGUAAAACUCUGUUAUUAGGGAAGAACAUAUGUGUAAGUAACUGUGCACAUCUUGACGGUACCUAAUCAGAAAGCCACGGCUAAUUACGUGCCAGCAGCCGCGGUAAUACGUAGGUGGCAAGCGUUAUCCGGAAUUAUUGGGCGUAAAGCGCGCGUAGGCGGUUUUUUAAGUCUGAUGUGAAAGCCCGCGGCUCAACCGUGGAGGGUCAUUGGAAACUGGAAAACUUGAGUGCAGAAGAGGAAAGUGGAAUUCCAUGUGUAGCGGUGAAAUGCGCAGAGAUAUGGAGGAACACCAGUGGCGAAGGCGACUUUCUGGUCUGUAACUGACGCUGAUGUGCGAAAGCGUGGGGAUCAAACAGGAUUAGAUACCCUGGUAGUCCACGCCGUAAACGAUGAGUGCUAAGUGUUAGGGGGUUUCCGCCCCUUAGUGCUGCAGCUAACGCAUUAAGCACUCCGCCUGGGGAGUACGACCGCAAGGUUGAAACUCAAAGGAAUUGACGGGGACCCGCACAAGCGGUGGAGCAUGUGGUUUAAUUCGAAGCAACGCGAAGAACCUUACCAAAUCUUGACAUCCUUUGACAACUCUAGAGAUAGAGCUUUCCCCUUCGGGGGACAAAGUGACAGGUGGUGCAUGGUUGUCGUCAGCUCGUGUCGUGAGAUGUUGGGUUAAGUCCCGCAACGAGCGCAACCCUUAAGCUUAGUUGCCAUCAUUAAGUUGGGCACUCUAAGUUGACUGCCGGUGACAAACCGGAGGAAGGUGGGGAUGACGUCAAAUCAUCAUGCCCCUUAUGAUUUGGGCUACACACGUGCUACAAUGGACAAUACAAAGGGCAGCGAAACCGUGAGGUCAAGCAAAUCCCAUAAAGUUGUUCUCAGUUCGGAUUGUAGUCUGCAACUCGACUACAUGAAGCUGGAAUCGCUAGUAAUCGUAGAUCAGCAUGCUACGGUGAAUACGUUCCCGGGUCU